This 434-nucleotide ribosomal RNA is filed under the name uncultured bacterium. RNAcentral describes it as "bacterial SSU rRNA". It matches the Rfam family "Bacterial small subunit ribosomal RNA", at positions 954 to 1380 of the family's 1533-position model. The record is from RNAcentral.
GCAAAACGCGAAGAACCUUACCAAGGUUUGACAUACACCGGAAACGCCCAGAGAUGGGUGCCUCCUUUUGGACUGGUGUACAGGUGGUGCAUGGCUGUCGUCAGCUCGUGUCGUGAGAUGUUGGGUUAAGUCCCGCAACGAGCGCAACCCUUGUUCCAUGUUGCCAGCACGCCCGUUUGGGUGGUGGGGACUCAUGGGAGACUGCCGGGGUCAACUCGGAGGAAGGUGGGGAUGACGUCAAGUCAUCAUGCCCCUUAUGUCUUGGGCUGCAAACAUGCUACAAUGGUCGGUACAGAGGGUUGCGAUACCGUGAGGUGGAGCGAAUCCCUAAAAGCCGGUCUCAGUUCGGAUUGGGGUCUGCAACUCGACCCCAUGAAGUCGGAGUCGCUAGUAAUCGCAGAUCAGCAACGCUGCGGUGAAUACGUUCCCGGGUC